RNAcentral lists this long non-coding RNA (892 nucleotides) under Homo sapiens (human). RNAcentral describes it as "novel transcript". Lineage: Eukaryota; Metazoa; Chordata; Mammalia; Primates; Hominidae. The record is from RNAcentral.
AUGGGGGGUGCGUCCCCCUCCUGUGAUGGGCGUCCUAAGAGCCAGGGGGGGAAGAGGGACUGGCUCUCAGUCCCUGCCUCGCGGGGGGUGCCUCCCCCCCUGCGAUGGGGGUACUAACAGCCAGGGGCGGAAGAGGGGAUAGCUCUCAGUCGCCACUCUCGUGGGGGGUGCCUCCCCCUCCUGCGAUGGGGGUCCUCAGAGCCAGGGGGGGGAAGAGGGACUGGCUCUCAGUAAUCCCACGUAAGGUACCUGCCGUCGGAAGAUUUGAACUUUCUACUUGGACACCUAACACCCGCAGUCCUCCAGCUGCGUUCGGACCCGUCGGAUCGUAAAUCCCAUGUAAGGUACCUGCCGUCGGAAGAUUUGAUCUUUCUACUUGGACACCUAAUACCCACAGUCCUCCAGCUCCGGUAGAUUGCAAAUAACCUGCUUUCUUUCUGUUCCUGAGCUGCGUUCGGACCCCUGUCGUAUUGUAAAUCCCACGCAAGGUACCUGCCGUCGGAAGAUUUGAGCUUUCUUCUUGAACACCUCAUACCCACAGUCCUCCAGACAGAAGGACAACAGGUACAAAGUCCUAAGGAUUAUAAAGGUAUGCUGCUUGCCAUCAUCUUAGUGACCAAGGCAGCGAAGCUGUUUCUGUACCUUGGAACAGUCUUCCCUGACAAGCCAGAGAACAGCGAUAAAGCCACCAGCCUUGGGAUCAGGACUGAAAAGGCAAGAGUGAUGGAGAUUUCUCCUGCGCUAAGCCAAGAGAAGGUUUCAGCACCUCAGACAGCUCCCACCGAAGUAGCGGCGCUCCCAGCUGCUUGCAGAUGUGGAAAAGGAAAGCCUCGGUUUGUCUUGAGGUUGUCAGCAGUUGCAAGACACGUAAUAAAAUGCAAUGUGUUCCUAA